This is a long non-coding RNA of Helianthus annuus (common sunflower), 513 nucleotides long. RefSeq lists it as uncharacterized. Lineage: Eukaryota; Viridiplantae; Streptophyta; Magnoliopsida; Asterales; Asteraceae. The transcript is spliced from 2 exons. The record is from RefSeq and is a predicted model, not a curated record.
CACAUUCUUAAAGUCUUAUUCCCACACCAUUUUCACUCUAUCGCUCUAUAUAUAUCUAUGCAUAGAGAGAGAUAUAGGUGACUGAUGUGUGAAUAUUAACACCCAAACUUAAUGUGCCAAAUACUAGAGACUCCAAACCAAAACACAUCUAUAGAAAAGACAAUAAAUGUUCAGGGUUUUUUUCGGGUUUUAUGUUUCGGUUUUUCGGGUCAGGCUGUUUGGGUUUUUUGCUGGGAAAAAGUGACCCGAUAACCGACCUAUUUUAAGUUUGGGUUGGUACUCGGAUUCGAGUUUUCAGAGGGCGGUAGGUGUUCUCGACGAUGAAGACGUUCAAUUUAGUUUAUUUCUUCAUCGUCUCUUGAUUAUGAAGAUGAUCAAUUACAGAGGCCGGUUGGUGUUUUUGAUGUAAAACGUUUUCUAAAGUUCGGUUGGAAGGGAAGGAAUAGAAAGAGAGGGUUUAAUUUUGAAUUUUAUUGUUUAAUGUUAUUAUUCUAUAAAAUAUCCAUUUUUGUA